GGCAAGGGAGCCACUGAUCUGGGCUGUGGUGAAAGAAACACAUACACUCCAAAGACUUUUUUGGGUAUUUUACUCCAAGGGUACAUGCAGGUGGGAUAUGGAGGGAUCAGUCACACCUGGCCUGGGGAAGUCAGCAUCCAGAACAGUCUGCACUUGGCUGAAAAUGAGACAGUUGCCAGAGCCAUGGCUCAGGACAGGCGAGUCUCACAGCAGGACUGACGUGUCCAAAAGGUAAGCACACAGAACUUCCUCCUGACAUCAGAUGAUGAAGAUGGG
RNAcentral lists this long non-coding RNA (276 nucleotides) under Gallus gallus (chicken). The record is from RNAcentral. Lineage: Eukaryota; Metazoa; Chordata; Aves; Galliformes; Phasianidae.